Homo sapiens (human) is the source of this 1302-nucleotide long non-coding RNA. Ensembl annotates it as MFF divergent transcript. Its record names the gene MFF-DT. The record is from Ensembl. NCBI's taxonomy places the organism in Eukaryota, Metazoa, Chordata, Mammalia, Primates, Hominidae.
UUUUUAGUAGAGAUGGGAUUUCAUCACAUUGGCCAGGCUGGCCUCGAACUCCUGACCUCAAGUGAUCCACCCACCUUGGCCUCCCAAAGUGCUGGGCUUACAGGUGUGAACCAAUGCGCCUGGGCUGGUCUUAACAGAAAUGCAUGCAAGACCCUGUGUAAUGAGCACACAAAUAGUCAUCUUUUACUUACUAGCAUAAGACCAGGUUGGCUUUGUGAAGCAGCACACUACAAAAACUCAGAGGAUAAUGUGCUGUGUGAGAUGAUCAGAAAUGGAAAACCUGUGGAUUAAGAAUCCUUGCCUUUUUUCGUGAUAAGUAGCUUCUUAUAAAUUGAAUUAAGAUUCUUUGUAUCAGGGAUCAAGGUACUGAAAUGCAAGGAGAAAAGAGGUGAGAGCAGCUAGCCAUGCUCUUCCCUGCUAGGGAUCCUUGUGAGUUCCAGAGAGGUGCCUAACAGUGACCCACAUGAAGAAGCAGACCAGGUUUGGCUUUGAGAUUGAGUAGGGUGUGCUAGCUGUUACAUCAUAUGAACUGUAGUCUACCUUAGGUCCUCUAGGUCCCAUGGCUCCUGGAAAGCCCUAGAAAAAUCCACAAAUGAAAAUCACAGCAGGAAAUGCAUCCAACCAGAAAAAUUCUUUUAAUAACUUUUUAAUAAUAAAUAAUGAAUCUAUUAGUUGACAGAGUCUGUAGCAAGGAUGACUUGAUACUCACAAAGAAUCCCGGAGGACCAGGUGGGCCAACAGGCCCAGGAAAACCUGGAGGGCCUGGCAAACCCUUGAAAUUGAGAGAAGAAUAAGACCUCAGAUGAAAACAACCAGUUGAGCUCCAAGUUUUCUUUCUGUGGGAGAACUUUCCUUAAAAGACAAUUAGAAAGCAAGGAAUGCGAAGAAAGAAAAUGGGAAGUUUCCUGCCUCCAAAUUAUGCUGUUGGUUCUGGCCUAAAGGAAUGUUUUCAAGGGAAGCCUGUCUGCCUUUCAUUGCCAUUUCACCUUGAUUUAAUCAUUCAGCAAAGCAUUUAUUAAUCAUCUUCUGUGUGAAAAGUACUUACCUUAGAACCACUGCAUCCUGGUACACCGACAAGUCCGUAAGGCCCGGUAUUGCCUGGGGUGCCCUGGAAGAAGAACAAGUCUCAAUGAGGAGGGUCAUCCCAAGAAACAGCACUGAACCCAAGGGAAAAGAUGCACUGAUUUAAAUAGCUCUUGAAAUAUAAAUGAUUGUUUAAAUGGUUAAGUAGUAAAUGUACAUUGUGGUUUUACAUAUAAUUUCAGUAGCAACAAACUAAACAGGCUGACUGAUAUGAAGACU